GCCUUUAUUAGGUCUUGUCAUGUUUCAUAUUGGUUUGGCCGCUGCUCUGGCAAGAACCACAAAGUACUAAAAAGCUGCCAUCCCAAGUGGCUCCCUGGCCCUUCCUUAAAGUGGGCUUCGCUGGCUUCUGCUCUGUCAUUUCUCAGGUGCUGCUGUCCCCCACCACUCAGGCCUUAGCCCAGGUAGUGUUGCCUCCACCUGCACCCACCCCUCCGACCCCAAUGUCCCACCCACCAGGGGACCUGGCCCCUCCUGGCUCACAGGGACUCUGCCUGCCCUGCCUGAGUACUCCCCACCCACCCUGCACUUCCCUGUGGCCAGGUCACCUCGGCCUAGUAUGGUUUGCUCCUGGCCACGUGUCCCGCAGGGGCUCUGGCCAGGUUGCUCAGAACAUGAGGUGCCAGAGGGGAGGCCCUGGCCUGGCUCUGCCACUCCAGAUGCCGCCCUGGGAGGCUGAGGUGUGGGGCUGCCAGAGAAGGUCAGAGCGGAGGCCUUGGCGUAACUGGGAAACAGGCGCCCGGCUCAAACUCAGGACCCGCCCAACACAGUGCAUUUCUCUCCUUCAUUUGUGAGUGACCUCCCCUGCUAAUGCCCCACUCCCAGGAGCCUCCAGGUGGGGUCAGGAAUGGAAGGUGUUCAUCCCAUCAGGCCCUGGCUGGUUUUCCAGACUGGGGGGGAUGGACUCAGCAGGCCUCUGUCCUGCAGGAGAGAAGGCAUGUGCCCGGUCUUCCUCCUACUGGAAGGCUGGGAGCAGCAGACAGCUGGCCGGGUCUCUGCUGCUGGGUGGGGGCUAGGAUUCCAUUGCCCUGCUCUUUACCUGGUCCCUCUCCCACGUGCCACUUUCUUGGCAUCUAUGAGAGUGGUAUUUUGGUUUUUCCUCAUUGCUGGGAUUUAUGGUUGUCCUUAGAAGGAAGGAACAGAGACUGCCCCACGCCAUCUCGGUCUAGACUCACAAAAGGGCAUUCAGUUUCUGAAAAGUGGUGACGCUGACAGUAGGCAGCCAUCAGAGCAGUUGGGUAAGAGCUCAGCUCAGGGAAGCGAAGGUCACAGGAGGAGACAAUUCAGGGUGCUUGGGUGGGGAGUGUAAAGGGGAGGAGGAGGAAGACCCCACCGUGUGGUGGAAAGACUGAUGGUGUGCUAUCGCUGAGGGUCCAGUUUGGGGUGAUCCUGGGUUUAGGGUUAGGGUAGAAGGCCUGCUGCCCGAGCCCGGGGGGAGCCAGGUGCACGUCCACCUGAGGGACGUGCUUCCUGAGCUUGCUUUCAGGUAGAACCUGAAGACACGGACGGGAGUCUCCCUCCCUGCCUGCCACGAUGGCUACACUGAUUCCUCACCCCAGCUCAGAGACUCGACAAUGUGCCAUUCAUCCGCCUCCUGGUGCCUGGCACCAGGGAGAGGGGGCUGGUCCUGGCGGUGCACCGGCCUAUGUGGAAGCAAUAGUACAUUUCAGCAAGGCAAGGGGCGGCUUCACUCUCCGAGGAGGAGUGGCAGAGCAGCUGCCAGGGAUGGAAGAAGCACCUCCUUCCCAUCUCCUUUCCCACCUAGAGAACUGGGAGGUGAAGGAAUAAGGUGGGUGCAGAUCCACGAGCUCCGAGGAGACCCAGGAACCCAGCUCAGCCCAGGAACUCAUCUGAGGACACCUUCCCCGCUGAGCUCUCCGGGGC
Long non-coding RNA from Heterocephalus glaber (naked mole-rat), 1662 nucleotides. Lineage: Eukaryota; Metazoa; Chordata; Mammalia; Rodentia; Bathyergidae. The record is from Ensembl.